UAAUACGUAGGGUGCAAGCGUUAUCCGGAAUUAUUGGGCGUAAAGAGCUCGUAGGCGGUUUGUCGCGUCUGCUGUGAAAUCCCGAGGCUCAACUUCGGGCUUGCAGUGGGUACGGGCAGACUAGAGUGCGGUAGGGGAGAUUGGAAUUCCUGGUGUAGCGGUGGAAUGCGCAGAUAUCAGGAGGAACACCGAUGGCGAAGGCAGAUCUCUGGGCCGUAACUGACGCUGAGGAGCGAAAGGGUGGGGAGCAAACAGGCUUAGAUACCCUGGUAGUCCACCCCGUAAACGUUGGGAACUAGUUGUGGGGUCCUUUCCACGGAUUCCGUGACGCAGCUAACGCAUUAAGUUCCCCGCCUGGGGAGUACGGCCGCAAGGCUAAAACUCAAAUGAAUUGACGG
Molecule: ribosomal RNA, 398 nt
Filed under: uncultured bacterium
Lineage: Bacteria
Description: bacterial SSU rRNA
Rfam family: Bacterial small subunit ribosomal RNA
Source: RNAcentral